RNAcentral lists this ribosomal RNA (253 nucleotides) under uncultured bacterium. Its description in RNAcentral is "partial 16S ribosomal RNA". It matches the Rfam family "Bacterial small subunit ribosomal RNA", at positions 524 to 776 of the family's 1533-position model. The record is from RNAcentral.
UACAGAGGAUGCAAGCGUUAUCCGGAAUGAUUGGGCGUAAAGCGUCUGUAGGUGGCUUUUUAAGUCCGCCGUCAAAUCCCAGGGCUCAACUCUGGACAGGCGGUGGAAACUACCAAGCUGGAGUACGGUAGGGGCAGAGGGAAUUCCCGGUGUAGCGAUGAAAUGCGCAGAUAUCGGGAGGAACACCAAUGGCGAAGGCAGCUUGCUGGGACGGUACUGACGCUGAGGCGCGAAAGCGUGGGGAGCAAACAGG